Molecule: long non-coding RNA, 1016 nt
Organism: Homo sapiens (human)
Lineage: Eukaryota; Metazoa; Chordata; Mammalia; Primates; Hominidae
Product: long intergenic non-protein coding RNA 174
Source: Ensembl
ACCUCAAGUGAUCCACCUGCCUCCCAAAGUGGGAUUACAGAUACAUGAAGUUAUGAAUUUAAGAUGUGAAGAUUUACAGCUUGAUAAACCAGCUUCAGGAGACAUGAUCUUAUGAAUUCAACACAUGAAGAUUUACAACUUGAUAAACCAGCUUCAGGAGGGAUUGUGCUGCAUUCUGACUUGGAUUCUGCCAUCGAACACAGAAUGCCCUGAUCCUUAGAUGCAGAGGCAGCUCUUCAGCCUAUGGGGGCUGCUGUAAAAUAUUACAGGCAUACUUUGGAGAUGUUACGGGUUUGGUUCCACAUCACUGCAAUAAAGCCUUCCAGAUAUACAGUCAUAUUUCUUAUAUUACACGACUCCAGCGGGAGGAAGAAGAGGCCUUUGCCAGCAGUCAGAGCAGCCAAGGGGCCCAAUCCCUCACAUUCUCCAAGUUUGAAGGAAAGAAAACCAACGAGAAGACCCGCAAGAUUACCACAGUGAAGAAAUCUUCAGUACGUCUUCCAGGGUCGGAUCAAAGAAGGUGCCUCCAGAAUGAGUUGAGAAGAUAAAUGGAUCAGAUUGAAAAGUACAUCAUGACUCAUCUCUAUAAAUAUGUGUUCUGUCCAGAAACUACUGAUGAUGAGAUGAAAGAUCUUGCCAUUCAAAAGAGGAUCAGAGUGGAAGCUGCUCUGUGGUGUCAGAAAGACAAGGAAUGUGGUGACCUCACCUAUCCAUCUCCCUCAAGGCAGCUUUUGAGCCCUUCACUGGGUUACACCUCAGAUGCUGUGUGUCCCUGUUAAUGAAGACAUCCCAGAAGUGUCUGAUACGGUGUUGAAGGCAAUCACAGGGAUUGUGCUGCAUUCUGACUUAGAUUCUGCCAUCAAAAACAGAAUGCCCUGAUCCUUAGAGGCAGAGGCAGCUCUUCAGCCUAUGGGCUUAAGCUCUUGGACUCACUGAGGCAGUAAAAGAACCAUAUCCUGUGUUUGAAUCAAACCCCGAGUUCCUGUAUGUUUAGAAGGUUUGCCAGACAGGAUUCC